This 741-nucleotide long non-coding RNA is filed under the name Marmota monax (woodchuck). The record is from RNAcentral. Lineage: Eukaryota; Metazoa; Chordata; Mammalia; Rodentia; Sciuridae.
UUCAAGUACUUUUUUUUUUUUUGGAUGGAAAUCAAAUGUAUAGUCCAUUGGCCAUGGUUUUUGCAUAAAGCAGAGGGAAGUUUCCAGAACAAUUCCACAACAUAUUCAAACUUCGUCCCCUCUUGCCUGGAUCUUCACCUCUUGUGGUUGCACAUUCUAAGUGGGAGAACACUUGCCUAGUAGGUGCAAGGCCCUGGGUUUGAUCCCCCAUAGCUGUGGGGAUGAUAGGCUCUGCAUUUGGAGGCCACAGUAGGAGGUCUGCUCCACAGUUAAUUCAGUAUUGCAGGAAAAUCAGCAAGAUUUCCAAACCAGAGCAGACCCAUGAAGGCAAGGAUCCGAAAUAUCUGAGAUUUUAUCAACAUGAUUCCUGAAAUGGGGAUUUUUUUUUUUCUUCUACAAGUUUCUUUUUCCUUUUCCUUUUUUUUUUUUCUUAACUGAAAUCUUUUUUCGAGUUUCAUUGUUGCCGAAUAGGUUAUCUGUAGGUCAGAGAGUUCACAGGUUGUUUGGAUUUCCUAAAAUUGUGCUUUUCCCUAAAUGUGGCACGAGAGAUUGUUUUUGGACUGCUGAGUGUCUGGGGUGGCCCACUGAGGUCCACACAAUGUCUCUAUUUCUGUUUCUGUUGUCCCUAGUAAAGGUAUUUCAGAGUUCCCUGGUCUUUAAGACUAAAACCAGCAGCAACCAAUCUUGAACUUCUGAAGUUUCCGGUUAAUUCUAUGAAGUUUAGAAUUCUUUAAUUCUCUC